RNAcentral lists this ribosomal RNA (774 nucleotides) under uncultured Neocallimastigales. Its description in RNAcentral is "partial large subunit ribosomal RNA". It matches the Rfam family "Eukaryotic large subunit ribosomal RNA", at positions 23 to 646 of the family's 3401-position model. The record is from RNAcentral. Lineage: Eukaryota; Fungi; Neocallimastigomycota; Neocallimastigomycetes; Neocallimastigales.
AGAGAGAGACAUGCGCGCAUAUCAAUAAGCGGAGGAAAAGAAACUAACUAGGAUUCCCUCAGUAACGGCGAGUGAAGCGGGAAGAGCUCAAAUUUGAAAUCUUCAAGGUUCUACCUUGACGAAUUGUAGUUUAAAGAAGUGUUUUCUGUUGAAGUUUUGGUAAAAGUUCUUUGGAAUAGGACAUCAUAGAGGGUGAGAAUCCCGUAUUUGACCAUUAUUUCCAGCUUUGUGAUACACUUUCAAAGAGUCGGAUUGUUUGGGAAUGCAGUCCAAAAUGGGUGGUAAAUUUCAUCUAAAGCUAAAUAUUGGCGAGAGACCGAUAGCGAACAAGUACCGUGAGGGAAAGAUGAAAAGAACUUUGAAAAGAGAGUUAAACAGUACGUGAAAUUGUCAAAAGGGAAGCGUUUGACACCAGUGUUGUUUUCUCGAAAAUCAAUUAAAAAAGGCAGGAUUUUGUGUUGUAUUGACUUUAUCAGCUUUCUGCACUCUUUUCUUGUCUUUUUUAAUGCACUUUUCGUUUAACAAGUCAACAUCAGUUUCUUUUGUUGUAAAAAGGUCAUUGGAAGGUGGCUUUCUUUUCGGAGAAAGUGUUUAUAGCCUUUGACUCCUGCAAUCGGAGAGAUUGAGGUCUGCAGCGUAGAUCCUUCGGGGCUAAAUGCAUUUGUGCUAAGUUAUAACAUUUUAUAGACAACUUGUUGACUAUGAUUUGUCUUGUAGCUUACUCGCUUAUGUUAUUUUACCUACGCUUAGGAUGUUGAUGUGAUACUGCGAGCA